Molecule: long non-coding RNA, 33842 nt
Filed under: Triticum aestivum (bread wheat)
Lineage: Eukaryota; Viridiplantae; Streptophyta; Magnoliopsida; Poales; Poaceae
Description: long non-coding RNA (TAES_LNC003382)
Source: RNAcentral
AGAGAGAGAGAGAGAGAGAGAGAGCAACAAGAUUCAGAUUCAGAGAAGUGCAGCAACAAGGUUCAUGGGUUUAGAGAAGGGGGAAGCAACGAGCAGCAGAGGGAGAUAGGCAAGGGAGCAGCGGCAUGAAGAUUAGAGAAGAGCAGCAGCAAAAGGGACGAGGGGAGGAGCAGCAGCAGUUGGGAAGAGGCAAGGGAAGGAGGAGGAGUAGCUGGUUCGAGUUGAGAAGUGGAGGAGCAGCAGCAAGGCGAGGGAAGAAGGAGCAGCAACAAGGCAUAGGAGAAGAAGAGCAGCAGGGGCGCGAGGUGUGGGGAAGCGCUGUGGUGCUGGUAACGCGGUGUGGAUGGAUGAUGGUGGAUUCGGGGAAGGAGAAGAAGAUGGUGGCACUGGUGGAUGGCGCAAGGUGGUGAUGUGGUGGGAGGUGCUGGUGGCGCGCCGCCACGCCGGCCUGGCCAAGGCGGCGGCCGGAGGUGGAGAAGGGGGUGUGAGGGAGAGAGUUGAGUAGCCAGGCCCAAUUGCAAUGGAGAUGUGGCUACGGAUUUUGAUCCCCUCCCGAUCAGAUCUGAAUGUUUUCACUUUGGCCCUCCUUCUUCCUUCUUUCUUCCCAAGUUGGUCCUCCCAUCUUUAGUUUGGCCCCUCGGUUACUUCUUUCCUUCACGCUCAGCUCCUUGACUCCAUCACUUGAUCAUUUGUAGUAGAAGAGUUUUGUGCCUUGUCGCACUUUUCUGCAAAAUAAACAAGUGACUAGUCAACAAUCCUUUUAUAUGAUUUUCAUGCAAUAUUUGAUAAUUCUUAGCAAGAAUAGAUGGACACAUCUCAAGAAAUGGUGAAUUUGUGUGUCAAAAUUAUAUAUAUGAAAUGUGCUUAUCAAGUUCCCCCACACUUAAAUCUUUGCUUGUCCUCAAGCAAAGGAAUAUGAUAAGAGCAAGAUAGUGAAUAGUGAGCUGACUAGAGAAUGCCAAGUGAAGUAGAUCUCUAAACAAUGCAUGCUUUGGACUUAGCUAGUGCAAAUCAAUGGUCAAGAGUGCUACAAAGCAAUAGGAUACUAGUAGACUCAAUCAUUUUAAACUUUUACAAUGAUAAAAGUGGAUCAACAAGUUCAAAUGAUGAUUGUGCCAAAGGUUCCUAAAGAGAGCAUGAUCCCAAGCACAAAAAAGAACAUAAACUUGUGAUCAAAUCACUUAUUUACAGACGUAAAGCAAUGAUAAUAUUUUAUUGAUCUCACCAAAGGAACAUACCAUCGAUCCCGAGAACAUGGUUUACACCUGGAUCGACCAAUUAUUAAUUUAGUUUUUUUGUUUGUCUCCCCAAAGGAACAUACCACCGAUCCCGAGAACAUGGUAUACACUUGGUUCGACAAUUACAUUUUUUUAUUAUUAAUUACUGCCCAAGCUAACCCGAUUUCACAUGCCACCGACCCCAGGAACAUGACAUGCUACUGUAGGUAGUCAGAUUUAUUUAUUCAUUAUUACUUAUCUUAAAUGAACAACGCAUAAGCACAAAAAUAGGAAUCAUCACUUCUCCAUGUCUUGUUCACAUGCUACCGAUCCAGGGAACAUAGCAUGCUAAUCCAUAGUGGUUAGGUGAUUGCUCUCAAUGGAACACAUUAGGCACAAACUCAGCAUCUGACACUUAAUGAUCUAGGUGUAUCGAGGUAAAAGCAGAAAAUGAUUAAGUUUUCUAGUGUACUAGGGAUUUGAGCACUCAAAACUAAUAACUUUCACUAAUUUCAGCAAAGCAAGCAGUAUGUAGAUCACUAGUUUACAAGGCAUUCACGAUUCAGUUCACAUAUUCACAUCAAGCAUCAUAUGUCAAAGGUAAAAUUCAGUGGGACGACAUUUAAGAAAUGGCUCAAGCAACCCAAAUAUCAAAUGAUUUCAGCAUGUAUCAAUGGAUGAUAUAUUAAGAUUUGGGUCAUGAAAUAGCUCACCGGGUUUAUAUAGGAAGUAGCACUCGCUUAACGCUCUCUAAACUGCAGCUCUUCUCUUUUUGCUUCUCUAUCCCCAUGCCUGCUCCAGCUUCACUCCUCUUCGCGUGUGCCCAUUGCUUCUCCUCAUCACCAUGCUGUGAAUCCACCAGGAUCCCAGGGAAUGUCAUCUCGAACUCGGUCAACUCGCAGUAAAUGGUACACAAGCAUCAACCUGAAAGAACACUCAACAACCAAGCCAAUACAAGUGACAGAGAGAAUGCCCUCUAAGUCAUCGAUAGAGUACCCUAUCAUAUAAGUAUAUCUAUUGAGCAAAUCAGGAACAUGCAUCAACAACAAGUCACAUGGUGCAUAGGCAAUAUCAGCGAUAUGACAUGUCUUGUCCAAAAAGCCGAGAUCAUACCUGAGAUAGUUAGGAAGAAGCUUCAAGACUACCUCAAUUGAAGAUACCAAGUGAGGUGUGGUAGUAGAAAUUUCAACCGGACUCGUGUCAACAAGUGAAAUAGUAGAGCUUGGCUCCUUGACAUCUGAAUCCACCUCACCAUACUCAACCAUGAAGCUCUCCAUCUCAGGCUCCAGUGUUGAGGAAACAAUGCGGCUAACAUCAUCGAAGGUGAACUUCUCCAUAUCUGGCUCUAGCAACACAUGAUCAAUAUCAACUAAAGGUGACUCCUCAAUAUCAAAAACAACUAACUGCAGCUCUGGCUCAUCCAUGGAAGAAUCAUCACAAUGCAAAACCGAAUCUCCAACACUAGUAUCCAUAUGAUCUGUAGCGUGUGUGUCAACUAGAAUGGUGUCAUCAUCGUCAAAGAUAAUCCAUGCAAGCUCGAUCUUGUCACACUAAGAUAGAGGUUCAGGGUUCUGUGUAAGAAUUGGUGGCUGAGGUGUAGUGAUUUGUUGCAAGCAAACCAAUGAAUCAGACAUGGGCUUCUUAUUGUACCAUUGAAGUUGCUGGAAAGCUAUGCUCUCAAUUAGCAGAAAAGCUUCAUCAAGUGUCUUGUUUGUAAUAGCUCCACCCGCUGCCAUAUCGACAUACGCUCGAGUGUUCGAAGUCAAUCCUCUAUAGAAUAUCUGCAACUCUAACCAUCUCUCGAGCCCAUGAUUAGGACAUCUCCUGAAUAAGGCUUUGUAUCUCUCCCAAGCAUCAUUCAAGCUCUCUGUCAGGACCCCAAUCCUAAGUCACACCGAUCUAGCAUGUAACACAUCAUAUCACUUUGCGGCCUCACGCACGGUAUUCCCACGGGUGCCACCUUACCUGGCCCGGGACCGUUUGCGCCUUUUGGCUCACGUAUAUGAUAGUGCCGCUAGCAUCCAUAUGACAAAGAACCCGGGCUGACAUGGCUAGUCGUGAACCCAAAGUGGCACUAACUUACAAGGACAGGCAUACAUGACCCAGCAACGAACGUGUCGGUCAUCAGCGAGUGAAUCCAGGCUGUAGCAACUGGGCUAGCAGGACUCCGGUAAACCGGGCUGUAGCAGGCUAACAGGACUCCGGUAGACACCGCGUGACAUUUCCCCGAAGGGACAGACACAGGAACGAAGAAGGUCACAUGCCGGCCAGCCUAAGUGUUUCGGAGCAGUAGAAAGCUACCAAGGCUCAGUGGAAGCACUAGGAGACAUUUCCCGGUAAGAGAGGCUACCAAGGAUAAACAACUAGAUAGUCAGAUCCCACACAUACCAAGCAUUUCAAAACAUGCACACAAUAUGCUCGAUAUGUGCAAAUACAACAUGGCAUCAGAACAUGACUCUACAACUCAAGUAUUUUAUUCAAUAGGCUCCGAGGAGCGAGAUAUUACAAGCAUGAGUCUCAUGACUCAACAUUCAGAGCAAACAAGUCAAGCACAAACGGAAGUUUAACAUGUCUGAGUACAGACAUCUACAAAAGAAAAAGGCUGAGAAGCCUGACUGUCUAUCAGAUCCUGCCGAGGGCACAAGAUCGUAGCUGAGGUAACAAGCUAAACGUCGAAGUCCACGUGGAAGUACUAGCGAGACUGAAGUCUCUCUGCAAAAACAUAAAUUAAGCAACAUGAGUACAAAUGUACCCAGCAAGACUUACAUCAGAUCUAACUACAUAUGCAUCAUUAUCAACAAGGGGAUGGUGGGGUUUAACUGCAGCAAGCCAGCUUUGACUCGGUGGCUAUCCUGAACUACGACUGCAAGUAACUCUUUUGAGGUGGCGCACAUGAGUCCACAUAUUCACCAUAUCAAUACACCACUAUGGAUCCGCUCCCGUCUUCCUACGAGAACGCCAUCCAUAGCACUCACGCUUAUCUUGCGUAUUUUAGAGUAUCCACUUUCACUUGUCUAUGAACUGUAUAGGCAACCCAGAAGUCCUUUACCGCGGACACGGCUAUUCGAAUAGAUGAUAUUAACCCUGCAGGGGUGUACUUCUGCACACACGCUCUCACCACUUACCGCCGUUUACACGACAUGUACUCGGCAACCUUCAAGUGGAAGCCCAAGGAGGGUGUCGGCCACGACCUGACUAACCACACAAGUCUCUCGCCCAGGUUUAUCGCCUAUUCGGGUUCCAUCCGCAAGGAGAUCCGGCCGGGGUUUGGCUCACGGCCCCAAACGAUGUGAGCAGGGUUCCCAAGCCCACCAUCCGGGUGCCACUUGGUACACCAUGCCACUGUGCCUAGUCUGUGCCAAGCCCACCUGUACCGGGUGCCACUUGGUAGACUACUAACACUACCUACAAACACCAGAAACUAGUUGCAACUCUUGGACAGAGAUCAUGUUGAUUAAUAAGUCAAGAGAGUCAAUUAAGGAUCCCAAUGUGUGGUAGUAGUUGUUCAUGGAUCACAAACACAGAACUCAGUUCCUGAGGACGGCUACAAUGAGACAACCCACCAUGUACUCCUACAUGGCCUCUCACCGCUACCUUUACCAAAUCGUGUUCACACACUUAGCUCACACAUAGUAGGGCAUGUUCACACGCCUCUGAUUCAUCCCCGAUGAAUCAAACCUGACUCAACUCUAAGCAGUAGCAGGCAUGACAAACAAGCAUGAAUGAGUAGGCACAACCGGGCUCAAACAACUCCUACUCAUGCUAGUGGGUUUCAUCUAUUUACUGUGGCAAUGACAGGUCAUGCAAAGGAUAAAGGGGUUCAGCUACCGCAGCAAGUAACAGAUGAAUCGAUGUUGUCCUAAUGUAGUAAAAGAGAGCAGGAGCGAGAGAGUAGGAUUGUAUCGGAAUGAACAAGGGGGUUUUGCUUGCCUGGCACUUCUGAAGAUAGUAUAGUUCUUCAUCGGUGUCAUCGAACUCAUCGUCGGAACCACGUCUAUCGAGAGGGAACAAUUACCGGCAACAGAGAAGAAACACAAUCAAUGCAAUGCACAUUAUGAUGCAUGAUCAUGACAUGGCAACAUGCUGGUGUUUUGAGCUAAUGCAGCUAGCAACAAAGUUAAAUGAAGUUGGUUUGAACCCUAAGUUCAAAUCCAAACUCCAUAUGUGAUUUCUUAAAUGCCAUUUAAUUGAAUUGUCCUAAACAGUAGUCAUAAGUUGUUCUAACAUGAAUGAAAACAGUACAAAUGGAUAGAUUGAAUUUUUCUGAUCAUUUUUCAUAUAUAAAUUAUUUCAUUUAGAGUUACGGUUGAAUUUAUAUGAAUUUUAGAAGUUUAUACCAUUUUCUGGAAUUUCCUGAAUUAAAAUUAAUCUAGAAAAUGAGUUAUGGCGUCAGCACUACGUCACUAUGACCUCAGCUGGUCAACGGGGCCGGUCCAGGUCAAAUCUGACUAGUGGGUCCCAUUGGUCAGUGUCACAGUGCUGUCUACGGUCGCUGCCGUGUGGGCCCAGUCAACGGCCACGUCAGCAUGGUCAAAACUGACGCGUGGGGCCAUCAUGGUUAAUUUAAUCUAAACAGGAAUUAAACUGUGGUUAGUUAAGUGUGUGGGGCCUAGCGUCAGUGGCACGUGGCGGUAAUUAGUGGCUAAUUAAGCCAACCACGUCAGCAAGUGGCGCCGGCGACCACGCCGACGGCGGGACCUCGCCGGAGUUGCUCGGGAUGGCGCCACAGACGGUGGUUUGCGACGGGGUUUGGCUCUACGCGGAGCUGGAGGAGUGGCGCAUCCACUGGUGGCAGCAAAUGGAGCUGGGGUGGCCUGUAGCGGCAGCGAUGGUGAGUUGGGCGGCGGUCGGAGCUCGGGUGCUCGCGGUUUUGGUGCUAUGGCCUGCGUUCGAGCAAGUAGCAGGCCGAAGAGGCUCAACGCGGUGCUGUGAGUGCAACGGGCACACGCACGGGACCAAAUGGUCACCGGAAUGUGGACGGCGACGAGCUCGUGCAGCGGCGCGGUUCGGUCUUCAAGGGGGCGACGGCUACAACAAGAAAUCGAGGCGAGGAAGAGGGGGAUUCGGUCCGUGAGCUCACCGCGGAGAUGUUGGGAUGGUCGGCGUGCUCGGAGGAGGCUUGGAGGUGACGGAAUGGCAGUGACGAUCUCGGCAGCCCGAGGAAGGGGACGGAGCCAAUGGCGGUGCUCCAAGGUGUCCGGCGUUGUGUGGCUCGGUGGAGAGGGCGACGAUGUCGUGUUGGAGCCUGGGGAGGCAUCGGAGGGGCUCGGGGGUGGCUGUGGCCGUAGUGGCAGCGGGCGGCGGCGAUGGUUGCGCUCGGGCAUGGGAGGGAGAGAGAGCAGAGGAGGGGAGAGGCACGGGAGAGAGUGAGAGGGGGCCAGGGGGUGCGUGGCAUCGUCCAGAAGAUCGGGGAGGCCAGGCAGGCAGGGAGGAGCUGGCGCGGCUCGCCUGCCCGCCGGGCACGCAACUGCUUCUCCUCCUGGCAAGAGGAAGAAGACAGUGUUGCCCCUGGUGGGUCGGGCUAGCUUUGCCCGGCUGGGCUGCUACAGUGGUGGGCUGGCUGGGCUUCCAGGUAAGUCCUUCUCUCUCCUUUCUUCAAUUCUAUUUCUAUUAUUCUGUAGUCUUUAGGGCUUUAUUAAAAAUACCUAGACAGAUCCAAAAAUCAUAAAACUUCUCAAUGCCACUGUUUGGAAUAUAACCAAUAGCAAACAUUUUAGUUUAUGAUUAUUUGAGCAGUUAAAAUAUUUAAUAGCAUUUAAAUGCCCAAAUGCAAAUACUAUAUGAUUUAAUUCAAAGCCCAAAUAUGUCAUGGAAAAAUGUGCAUCACCUCUGGCUACUGUUUACAGUAUUUCCCAUAAAUGAUGAACAUUUUUGAAAGCCAUUUGGACUUACGGAAAAUAUUUUAGGUGAACCUAGUGAAUCCUUUAAUGCUAGGGUUAGGACAAUCCCCAUUUCAAUUUUUUGUAAAAGUAAACAUGAUGCAUCACCAAAGACUAGCACUAGUGCAUUGCCAGAAGCUAGGGAUGUGACAACUCGCCCCCACUAAACAAGAAUCUCGUCCCGAGAUUCAAGCGUAGGGUAGGAUGAAGGGGGAACGCAAACUAACACAAUCUUCACGAUCCAGGUUGCACUUCAAAUGAACGUUGAUUCAAUCACCAUCUUUGUCUAGUCGUCUUGCUGUGAGAACUCCAACCCACAUGACAACGAGAGGAAAGGAAAAACUCUAGAAGGGUCGAUCUUCUCGGAGAUCGAAUCAACUCAGGAUCAACUCUCGGAGGGAGACAUGGAAACAUCUCUCGAGCUGAGACACGAAGCAUACAUCUAGAGGGAUGGAGUGGAACAGAUGACGAGGGGUUAUGUGCCAUGAUUCCAAAAUGGCACCUUAGGGAAGGUGACUUGCAGAAAUAUCCCCUUAAGUGGAAAAAGAAUUACUUUUGAUUCAGAGAUCAUUGAAACUCUUAUACCAACCUAAGGCAAAUCACAACAAUUGUUUGGCGGAGUUCGAAGGAAUGGCAUACUCGGACUAGUAUGGAUGAUGUGGAUUACCUUGUUGAAGACAACACAAGGGAUGAUUUUGCUUAUCACCGAAAAUGGAUGAGACCCAUGGUAGGACCACUUUUGAAAAUGAUCCUGAUUAGUAAUUACUGAGAAGGUAAUCCAGAGUAGGGUGGCAUGAUGGCGGUGCAAGCUGGGAACAACAUGCAAAUGAUGGGAAUGAUUCUGGUAACUGUGGAGGAACCUCAUCAGUAGAGAGUGAAUCCACUGUUUGAAAGGGUUAUAGCAUAAUCGAGGAAACUGAGAGCACUAUGCAAUUAACGCCGACGAUAAAACUUAGCACUUGCGCGUGCUCUCAAGAACUUUGAGCAUUUCCAUAUUCAUCAAGGUUUUACCAAUAUCCGUGUCAAGGAUCCUGGCAACACAACAUACUACCCUGAUGAAUGGUGAUGGACGAUGCAGAUGCAAAGGAAGAGAACGCUUUCUCAGAUUUCACCUUAGCGAGGCCAAGGAAACAAAAUCUGGAUGAUCAACCGAGAGACAUUUAGCACUCCGCUUCUAAUGUUCUCCUUGAUGUGCUAGCGUAACCCAUUUAUAGAUAUGGUUUGAUAUCUAGAACAUCAAGUAAAAAGUCGGACUUCGGGAGCGCAAGAAUCCAUAAGGAAACAACUACUGGAUUAAAUCCUACGAGAUCCUUAUGGGGAGGUCGCCAACUUCUUCAAUCAAGCUACUACAAUAAUAGAUCUUCCGGCUAGGUGUGUCGGCCACGACAUCCACUUUACCGGGUUACAAAGAGACCAUUAUUAUAGUUCUUGGGAAACGUUCCAACCAUCAUAUCUGCCUGAGAUUCAGAUCUGGUUGGUGUCAGAAUAAUCCAGACUCAUCGAGUCUAGGAAGAAAAAUGAAAGUUUGCAACACAAAUCGACGAGAUGACGUUGCGAGAUUCUCGGGAAAUGAACUACGAUAGCAAGCUCCAAAACAUGAUCUGGUUCUGCUACACACAUGUGAACAUGUUGUCCCAGACAAAACAUGAUCACAUGGUAGUCUUACAAUAAAACACUACCGAGUUCCGGUGGGGAACCAUCAACAAGGAUAUCGAAGUCUUGUGCAUGAACUAGUAUUCACACAUCAACUCCUUUUCCUUGAACAAUUCAAUCAGUGGCUUGGUGUUCUAGGGAUACAUAUGGAAUGAAGGUUGUGAGCCUGUCAAACCAUAUCAUACUUCACACAUGCAUGACUGACUUGGGAUCGUACCAGGGAAACAAAAACAAUCUUUCUCGAACUCAUGGCAGCAACUUGCUCCAAAUGCACGUGAAUCAGGGAAAGUCACUUGUUUCAUCCAACAUAUUCUUCACGAAUGGGACAUGAAGAUAAUGCUUAUAAAAGUUUCCAACACUAGGUUGAUAUUCAACAUGAAUCAUGGGGUGACAAAAUGCUGCUGAUGGGCUCAACAGUAACUCAUCGGAAUUUCCAUAUCACUGGACUUCCGCCAUCAUGUGAACACGGUGAUAGUAUUGGUCAGACCAAAAGAUGUAAUGGUGUAUGCUCGAGGGAUCAACCACGAGUAAGACAACAUUACGAAUAUCGUUGGUUCUAACUUGAUUUGACGAUAGCCCACACUCAAAUCUAGGUUUGGACAAGAAAAUAGAUUCAACAACUGAUCACGGGGAUCAGUCGAUGAAGAUAUCAUCUUUCUUCAACACACACACACCCACACUCAAGGAUAUCCCUUAGUGAUGAACUAAGUCGGACAAGCUUCCAUCUUCCAACUCUCCAAGUUGUUGUUUAGCUUAACCAACUAGCUCGGGGUAUCCAACACAGAAUCUUGGAGAAUGGGUGGUUUGGAAGAAAACCAACAUGAUCACGAACUCAACAUAGCGGUCAGGUGAAACCUGGUCAUACUUCCGAGAAGAUAUUCGGAAAAUCACGAACCAUCGAUACAUUACUAAGCUUGAGAACAAUCUUGCUUUUCAGGGCAAGACGAUAUGAUCAGAGAGCGAGGGAUUGACACAAUCCUAACUCAUUGAUAGAAGAGUGCACCGAAGAUAAGGACUAGGUAGCACAAUCUAUCUUAGAAUGAUGAUUCAAAAACCAACACGCUAAGAAUGAAAUUAUUGUCCAUUAACUACCAAGCAACGGAGUUGCUAGGAGUAUUGAUUUCGCACAUCACGGUACACUUGUCGGCAUUCCGGUUACAAUAACAUGGGAACCGAGGAAUGAACAAUGAUGGCAAGAAGUAUUACUGUGUCAAGAAUUCAUAAGAGGUGGUGCAAUUCUCAUGACACUCUUGACAUAAAGAUGGUAACACUCCAAGGUAGAACAGAGCAAAAGUUGGAUUGGUAUUUUGAUCUGCAAAGUACAACUACUUUGAUCCAAUCCCGGAAAUGGAUGAGAUACUGGAGUUUGUUUCUCCUAGUCAUUCCCGAAUAGAAUGGCUUGACGGGACACAAGAGUAGUGGCAUCGAUGAACUCGAAUGCAUAACUACUCCUGACUAUUAAUCGAUAGACGAGGGCCAGAAAACAACUAAAGAGAGACAAAUCAAAGGAACACAUGUUUUUCUGAGUUGUGGAUGCAUGGAUUGGUAUGCCGAACGAAUUCAACAUAUUUCUUCCGGAUAACCCAUGCAGAAAGGUUGAACUGGCAGAGUCGCAAAAUAGAAUGGAGAACCCAUCGAGGAUACUCCUAUUGUGAUCUUUUGAUCCAACAAACUUCUGCCAUAAAGUGGUUCAUAGUAUUUGGAAGAAGGAAAUACCACGAACUUUGAGGACUAUCGCAAAGGUUACUAAUAACCUAAAGGGACGAGCAAACACUAUCAACAUGAAGUAAGUAGGGUGGAUCCUGGGUCAAGAACCCAGGAAUAGAAUGCCUACUAACUAAGUGGCAUCACGGGAUGCUUUCGAGAAUGAUGGCCAGAAUCAUCACAUUGAUAACACAAAACAUGGCUAAGUUACUAGGUGAUACUCUAGACACCUAGGGUCAUAAUAAUAGCUCCAACAUAAAUGCCAAGGCAAUAGAGUACCUCAACUCAGCAACUAGUGUGACUAACCUGGCCUAAAAGAACAUCAAAACCAGAGGAAGGGAUUUCCAAAUGCAUCAGACUAUUUAGAAACCUGGGAUGACUCGGACAACAUAACAGCUGUAAAUGCUCAAAAAGAUUUGAGACAAGCUACAAAAAUGGUGGCAUAACCACUCAGGAGCACAAUAUCAAGGUUUCGAGAUCAACAACUAACAUACGGAGGUAGAACCGAGGCUUAAAUCCAACAAGCUUAUGAAUCUACUGAUUAGUAACACGUCAUCCUGAUAGAUAGAUGAGAAUGCCUAGUUCUUAAUCCCCGUAGAAAAGAAGAGGUUGACUCGGAUCAGAAGGGCAUAGGGUAAAGGAGUAAAAAGAGCCUUACGUUCCAUCCCACAAUCAAUUCCCUUACAUAACUAAAGCAUUUCUAGACUCAACUUCGACCAGUUUGGCUUGGUAAUCCUACAGGCAGUCAGGCUCUGAUACCAAAGCUGUCAGGACCCCGAUCCUAAGUCACACCGAUCUAGCAUGUAACACAUCAUAUCACUUUGCGGCCUCACGCACGAUAUUCCCACGGGUGCCACCUUACCUGGCCCGGGACCGUUUGCGCCUUUUGGCUCACGUAUAUGAUAGUGCCGCUAGCAUCCAUAUGACAAAGAACCCGGGCUGACAUGUCUAGUCGUGAACCCAAAGUGGCACUAACUUACAGGGGUAGGCAUACAUGACCCAGCAACGAACGUGUCGGUCAUCAGCGAGUGAAUCCAGGCUGUAGCAACUGGGCUAGCAGGACUCCAGUAAACCAGGCUGUAGCAGGCUAACAGGACUCCGGUAGACACCGCAUGACAUUUCCCGAAGGGACAGACACAGGAACGAAGGACACAUGCCGGCCAGCCUAAGUGUUCCGGAGCAGUAGAAAGCUACCAAGGCUCAGCGGAAGCACUAGGAGACAUUUCCCGGUAAGAGAGGCUACCAAGGAUAAACAACUAGAUAGUCAGAUCCCACACAUACCAAGCAUUUCAAUAACAUGCACACAAUAUGCUCGAUAUGUGCAAAUACAACAUGGCAUCACAACAUGACUCUACAACUCAAGUAUUUUAUUCAAUAGGCUCCAAGGAGCGAGAUAUUACAAGCAUGAGUCUCAUGACUCAACAUUCAGAGCAAACAAGUCAAGCACAAACGGAAGUUUAACAUGUCUGAGUACAGACAUCUACAAAAGAAAAAGGCUGAGAAGCCUGACUGUCUAUCAGAUCCUUCCGAGGGCACAAGAUCGUAGCUGAGGUAACAAGCUAAACGUCGAAGUCCACGUGGAACUACUAGCGAGACUGAAGUCUCUCUGCAAAAACAUAAAUUAAGCAACGUGAGUACAAAUGUACCCAGCAAGACUUACAUCAGAUCUAACUACAUAUGCAUCAUUAUCAACAAGGGGAUGGUGGGGUUUAACUGCAGCAAGCCAGCUUUGACUCGGUGGCUAUCCUGAACUACGACUGCAAGUAACUCUUUUGAGGUGGCGCACACGAGUCCACAUAUUCACCAUAUCAAUACACCACUAUGGAUCCGCUCCCGUAUCCCUACGAGAACGCCAUCCAUAGCACUCACGCUUAUCUUGCAUAUUUUAGAGUAUCCACUUUCACUUGUCUAUGAACUGUACAGGUAACCCAGAAGUCCUUUACCAUGGACACGGCUAUUCGAAUAGAUGAUAUUAACCCUGCAGGGGUGUACUUCUUCACAUACGCUCUCACCACUUACCGCCGUUUACACGACAUGUACUCGGCAACCUUCAAGCGGAAGCCCAGUGAGGGUGUCGGCCACGACCUGACUAACCACACAAGUCUCUCGUCCAGAUUUAUCGCCUAUUCGGGUUCCAUCCGCAAGGAGAUCCGGCCGGGGUGUCGCUCACGGCCCCAAACGAUGUGAGCAGGGUUCCUAAGCCCACAAUCCGGGUGCCACUUGGUACACCGUGCCACUGCGCCUAGUCUGUCCCAAGCCCACCUGUACCGGGUGCCACUUGGUAGACUACUAACACUACCUACAAACACCAGAAACUAGUUGCAACUCCUGGACAGAGAUCAUGUUGAUUAAUAAGUCGAGAGAGUCAAUUAAGGAUUCCAAUGUGUGGUAGUAGUUGUUCAUGGAUCACAAACACAGAACUCAGUUCCUGAGGACGGCUACAAUGAGACAACCCACCAUGUACUCCUACAUGGCCUCUCACCGCUACCUUUACCAAAUCGUGUUCACACACUUAGCUCACACAUAGUAGGGCAUGUUCACACGCCUCUGAUUCAUCCCCGAUGAAUCAGACCUGACUCAACUCUAAGCAGUAGCAGGCAUGACAAACAAGCAUGAAUGAGUAGGCACAACCGGACUCAAACAACUCCUACUCAUGCUAGUGGGUUUCAUCUAUUUACUGUGGCAAUGACAGGUCAUGCAAAGGAUAAAGGGGUUCAGCUACCGCAGCAAGUAACAGAUGAAUCGGUGUUGUCCUAAUGCAGUAAAAGAGAGCAGGAGCGAGAGAGUAGGAUUGUAUCGGAAUGAACAAGGGGGUUUUGCUUUCCUGGCACUUCUGAAGAUAGUAUAGUUCUUCAUCGGUGUCAUCGAACUCAUCGUCGGAACCACGUCUAUCGAGAGGGAACAAUUACCGGCAACAGAGAGGAAACACAAUCAAUGCAAUGCACAUUAUGAUGCAUGAUCAUGACAUGGAAACAUGCUGGUGUUUUGAGCUAAUGCAGCUAGCAACAAAGUUAAAUGAAGUUGGUUUGAACCCUAAGUUCAAAUCCAAACUCCAUAUGUGAUUUCUUAAAUGCCAUUUAAUUGAAUUGUCCUAAACAGUAGUCAUAAGUUGUUCUAACAUGCAUGAAAACAGUACAAAUGGAUAGAUUGAAUUUUUCUGAUCAUUUUUCAUAUAUAAAUUAUUUCAUUUAGAGUUACGGUUGAAUUUAUAUGAAUUUUAGAAGUUUAUACCAUUUUCUGGAAUUUCCUGAAUUAAAAUUAAUCCAGAAAAUGAGUUAUGGCGUCAGCACUACGUCACUAUGACCUCAGCUGGUCAACGGGGCUGGUCCAGGUCAAAUCUGACUAGUGGGUCCCAUUGGUCAGUGUCACAGUGCUGUCUACGGUCGCUGCCGUGUGGGCCCAGUCAACGGCCACGUCAGCAUGGUCAAAACUGACGCGUGGGGCCACCGUGGUUAAUUUAAUCUAAACAGGAAUUAAACUGUGGUUAGUUAAGUGUGUGGGGCCCAGUGUCAAUGGCACGUGGCGGUAAUUAGUGGCUAAUUAAGCCAGCCACGUCAGCAAGUGACGCCGGCGACCACGUCGACGGCGGGACCUCGCCGGAGUUGCUCGGGACGGCGCCACAGACGAUGGUUUGCAACGGGGUUUGGCUCUACGGGGAGCUGGAGGAGUGGCGCAUCCACUGGUGGCAGCAAAUGGAGAUGGGGUGGCCCGUAGCGGCGGCGAUGGCGAGUUGGGCGGCGGCCGUAGCUCGGGUGCUCGCGGUUUUGGUGCUACAGCCUGCGUUCGAGCAAGUAGCAGGCUGAAGAGGCUCUACGCGGCGCUGUGAGUGCAACGGGCACACGCACGGGACCAAAUGGUCACCGAAAUGUGGCCAGCGACGAGCUCGUGCGGCGGCGCGGUUCGGUCUUCAAGGGGGUGACGGCUACAGCAAGAAAUCGAGGCGGGGAAGAGGGGGAUUCGGUCCGUGAGCUCACCGCGGAGACGUUGGGACGGUCGGCGUGCUCGGAGGAGGCUUGGAGGUGACGGAAUGGCGAUGACGAUCUCGGCGGCCCGAGGAAGGGGACGGAGCCAAUGGCGGUGCUCCAAGGUGUCCGGCGUCAUGUGGGUCGGUGGAGAGGGCGACGAUGUCGUGUUGGAGCCUGGGGAGGCGUCAGAGGGGCUCGGGGGUGGCUGUGGCCGUAGUGGCAGCGGAUGGCGGCGAUGGUUGCGCUCGGGCGCGGGAGGGAGAGAGAGCAGAGGAGGGGAGAGGCACGGGAGAGAGUGAGAGGGGGCCAGGGGGGUGCGUGGCAUCGUCCAGAAGAUCGGGGAGGCCAGGAAGGCAGGGAGGAGCUGGCGCGGCUCGCCUGCACGCCGGGCACGCAGCUGCUUCUCCUCCUGGUAAGAGGAAGAAGACAGUGCUGCCCCUGGUGGGCCGGGCUGGCUUUGCCCGGCUGGGCUGCUACAGUGGUGGGCUGGCUGGGCUUCCAGGUAAGUCCUUCUCUCUCCUUUCUUCAAUUCUAUUUUCUAUUAUUAUGUAGUCUUUAGGGCUUUAUUAAAAAUACCUAGACAGAUCCAACAAUCAUAAAACUUCUCAAUGCCACUGUUUGGAAUAUAACCAACAGCAAACAUUUUAGUUUAUGAUUAUUUGAGCAUUUAAAAUAUUUAAUAGCAUUUAAAUGCCCAAAUGCAAAUACUAUAUGAUUUAAUUCAGAGCCCAAAUAUGUCAUGGAAAAAUGUGCAUCACCUCUACUGUUUACAGUAUUUCCCAUAAAUUAUAAACAUUUUUGAAAGCCAUUUGGACUUUCGGAAAAUAUUUUAGGUGAACCUAGUGAAUUCCUUUAAUGCUAGGGUUAGGACAAUCCCCAUUUCAAUUUUCUGUAAAAGUAAACAUGAUGCAUCACCAAAGACUAGCACUAGUACAUUGCCAGAAGCUAGGGAUGUGACACUCUCGCCUUCACGUUGAACGAAAUUGAAGAUCUCAUCUCGAAUUGCGGACUACUUGUGUAGUGGGAUAUAUUUAUCCAAGAAAGCUUGUGAUAUCUCAUUGUAGAUCUACUCUUGAUCUCGUGGUAGAUCUACUCUUGUAAUACCCACAUCAUCAAUAUCAAUCAAGCAGGACGUAGGGUUUUACCUCCAUCAAGAGGGCCCGAACCUGGGUAAAACAUCGUGUCCCUUGUCUCCUGUUACCAUCCGCCUAGACGCACAGUUCGGGACCCCCUACCCGAGAUCCGCCGGUUUUGACACCGACAUUGGUGCUUUCAUGAGAGAGCGGCAGAAGAAGAGGUAGAGGAUUACAUGCCUGCCUCCGGAGACGAGGCAAGCCUCGACGACGACGAAUUCGUCGUGCCUGAGGAUCCCGUCGAACAAGAGCGUUUUAAACGCAGGCUUAUGGCCACGACAAACAACCUCAAGAAAAAGCAGCAGCAGCUUAGAGCUGAUCAAGAUCUGCUAGCCGAUAGAUGGACUGAAGUUCUUGCGGCCGAAGAGCAUGAGCUCGAACGCCCCUCCAAAAGCUACCCUAAACGCAAGUUGCUCCCCCGAUUAGAGGAGGAGGCAUAUGAACCUGCAUCACCAGCAGGCAAUACGGCUGACCGACCACCCCGUGGCCGCGACAGAGAGGCCUCUAGGCCCUCCACUAGAACCGUACCCCGGCAGUGCUCGAGAAGCACAAGGCCACAGGGGAACGCUCUGGACUUGCGAGAUAUAUUGGAGGAUAAGGCAAGACAAUCAAGAUCGAUCUAUGGAUUGCGUGGGCGCCCCAUGAUACGUGACGACAACCGUCGCGCCGGACACAGUAAGUCCGGCCGGGCCGAACACAGUAGACAAAGCUCUCUUGAACUUCGUCGUGAUAUCGCCCAAUACAGAGGCGCCGCACACCCACUAUGCUUCACAGAUGAAGUAAUGGAUCAUCAAAUCCCCAAAGGGUUUAAACCCGUGAACAUUGAAUCUUAUGAUGGCACAACAGACCCCGCGGUUUGGAUCGAGGACUAUCUCCUUCAUAUCCACAUGGCCCGCGGUGAUGAUCUCCACGCCAUCAAAUACCUCCCACUCAAGCUUAAAGGACCAGCCCGACAUUGGCUUAACAGCUUGCCAGCAGAGUCAAUUGGGAGUUGGGAAGACCUGGAAGCCGCAUUCCUCGAUAACUUCCAAGGCACGUAUGUGCGACCACCAGACGCUGACGACCUAAGCCAUAUAAUUCAGCAGCCAAACGAAUCGGCCAGAGAAUUCUGGACACGGUUCCUAACUAAGAAAAAUCAAAUCGUCGACUGUCCAGAUGCGGAGGCCCUCGCGGCCUUCAAACAUAACAUCCGCGACGAGUGGCUUGCCAGGCACCUAGGACAAGAAAAGCCAAAAUCCAUGGCAUCCCUCACAUCACUCAUGACCCGCUUCUGCGCGGGUGAGGACAGCUGGCUAGCCCGCAGCAACAACAUCAGCAAAAAUUCUGGCAGUCCGGAUAUCAAGGACCGCAAUGGCAGGUCGCGUCACAACAAAAGCAAAUGCCGCAUUAACGACGACAAUAGUGAGGAUACGGCAGUCAAUGCCGGAUUCAGAGGCUCCAAACCCGGUCAGCGGAAAAAGCCAUUCAAAAGAAAUACUCCGGGUCCGUCCAAUUUGGACCGAAUACUCGACCGCUCGUGCCAGAUACACGGCACCCCCGAAAAGCCAGCUGACCACACCAAUAGGGUCUGUUGGGUAUUCAAGCAGGCAGGCAAGUUAAUUGCCGAAAACAAUGACAAGGGGCUGCAUAGCGAUGACGAGGAAGAGACCCGACCGCCGAACAAUAGAGGACAGAAGGGUUUCCCCCCACAAGUGCGGACGGUGAACAUGAUAUACACAAUCCACAUACCCAAAAGGGGGCGGAAGCGUGCACUCAGGGAUGUAUACGCGAUGGAGCCAGUCGCCCCGAAGUUCAAUCCAUGGUCUUCCUGCCCGAUCACUUUCGAUCGAAGGGACCACCCCACCAGCAUCCGCCACGGCGGAUUCGCCGCCUUGGUUUUAGACCCAAUCGUCGAUGGAUUUCACCUCAUCAGAGUCCUGAUGGACGGUGGCAGCAGCCUGAACCUGCUUUAUCAGGAUACAGUGCGCAAAAUGGGCAUAGACCCCUCAAGGAUUAAACCUACAAAGACGACCUUUAAAGGCGUCAUACCAGGUGUAGAGGCCAAUUGUACAGGCUCAGUUACACUGGAAGUGGUCUUCGGAUCCCGGGAUAACUUCCGAAGCGAGGAGUUAAUCUUCGACAUAGUUCCAUUCCGCAGCGGCUAUCAUGCUCUGCUUGGACGUACCGCGUUUUCAAAGUUCAACGCGGUGCCGCACUACGCAUACCUCAAGCUCAAGAUGCCAGGCCCUUGAGGAGUCAUCAUGGUCAACGGAAACACUGAACACUCUCUUCGAACGGAGGAACAUACAGCGGCUCUCGCGGUAGAAGUACAGUGCAGCCUCUUAAGGCAAUUCUCGAGUCCGGCCGCUAAGCGACCGGACACGGCUAAACGCGCCCGGAGUAACCUACAACAAGACCACCUGGCACGUUCCGAGCACGCGUAGCAAUGCGGCCCCAACCCCAGCCCCUGCAAAAUUUCAAGACAGGUCCUUCGCGUACAUCAUUAUGCUCUGGAGAUACCAUGGGCAUAGGGGGAGGGGCACGACCACGAUAGGCCCAGAAUGCGGCUUAACCACACCAGGGGCUCUCAAGUGUGUCGUUCUUUUUUCUCUCUCUUUUUUUUACCCACAGGACUCUGUUCAUCAGAGGCCCUGUCCGGCAGUAGACCUGUCGAACUCACGAUGCAAUAGCCAGGGAAGGAGAAAGGCUACGACGAAUAUCCAGGUGGUCUCCAUUACGAGCAUUAAAACUGUUUAAUACACCAUUCCGCAGCCUACCCCUGGAGGGGGACAUGUUUAAUAGUCCCAUCCCUUGCUUAUCGCACCAUUUGUAUCGUUCUGCAUUCACAGCAGUAUUUCUUGAAUAAACAAUGCAGCACCUUUUUGCUUGUAAUUGCAUUUCUUUCUUAUACAUAUAUGACAUGUUGCAUCCGUACACUUUUGUACGGCUAAAUACACCAGGGGCUUAUGCUUCCCGCAUCAUGGCGUGAUAAGUCCGAACACUUCCACAAGUGCGGCACCACGAACUUAUAGCAUUAUAUGCAUCGGCUCCGAAUCAUGUCUUGGGUCAAUAGUUGGGUUUGCCCGACUCCCAUGUUUUGGUACCUUAUGUUCUGUUGUAUCGGCUAAGGUAGCACUGGGAGAACCACUGCGAUUGCGCCCCAGUGGAGCUGGGCGAGCGCCUCAGUGGAGAAAGCUAAAACUGACCGUCAUGAUGAGGCGAGAGCCGGUCGCUAUUCGAGAGGUUUUUUCGAGUCCCUAAAGACUUAUGCCGCUUAGAGCGAGGAACCGGCUUUGUCCGGCCCAGGCGUGGAUAGCGCCCCAAAUUUGGCCUUCCGAACACUAGGGGCUUCGCCGAAAUUUAAAAUUAUAGAAUUCUAUGGCUAAGUGAGAGUGUUAAAGCACUAUAAGUCCAGUUGCCUUGUUCGUUGUGUUGAGCGCCUCCCUAGAUGGACCCAAAAAUGGGAACAAGAGUGCUCAAAUUUAUCCCGAACACCCUAGCACUCGUGGCAUGGGGGCUGAAGCCGACGACUUGCCAUCUCUCAGAUUUGAUAAACGGCCACACAGAAGGUAAUAUUUUAAAUUAACAAGCGUUGCUUAGCGCAUAUGAACAAAGUUUUCAGCGCACAGGAUAACAAAAUGCGAGUCUACUCAAAUAUUACAUCUUUGGAGCACUCACCCGCAAUAAUGCGGGCACCCUUCAUGACACUCUUAUAAUACAUCUCGGGCGUGCGAUACUCCUUGCCUGGCGGUGGCGCGUCCGUCACAAGCUUCUCAGCAUCCAUCUUGCCCCAUUGCACCUUUGCGCGGGCAAGGGCCCGACGGGCACCUUCAAUGCAGGCGGAGUGCUUGAUGACUUCAACCCAUGGACACACACCCACCAGCCGCCGCACCAGGCCGAAGUAGCUCCCAGGCAUGGCCUCCUUAGGCCACAGCCGAACUAUGAGGCCCUUCAUGGCCUGUUCGGCCACCUUGUGGAGCUCGACCAGCUGCUUCAGCUGGUCGCUAAGGGGCAUCGGAUGUCUGGCCUCAGCAUACUGAGACCAGUAGACCUUCUCCGUCGAGCUCCCCUCCUCGGCCCUAUAGAAAGCGGCAGCAUCGGACACGCUGCGGGGCAGAUCUGUGAACGCUCCUGGAGAGCUCCGAAUUCGGGUAAGUGAUAGGUAAUUCACACUCACAUGCUUACUUUGCAUGAAAAAUGUCUUACCCGCCGCUAUUUUCUUCAAUGCCUCGAUUUCCUGGAGGGCCUUGUAGGCUUUGGCCUUAGCGGCUCUGGCACUCUCAAGAGCCGUUGUAAGCUCGGACUCCCGAGUCUUCGAGUCACGCUCCAAACUCUCAUGUUUUUCCACGAGAGCCUGGAGCUCUUGCUGUACCUCCGCCACCCGCGCCUCCUGCUUCUCUCACUCGGUGUGCUCCGUGGCCGCAUUACGUUCGGCCGCGGACACCGCCUCCUUCAGGGUCGCCACCUCGUUCGUGGCCCCUGCAAUACCCAUGUUAUCCUUGUCAUCCUUCUUGCAACCAAAUCCUUUUCUGUAAGGUACAAUUUUAAUAAGGUGUUACUCACCUUCCUUAUCCUCGAGCUGCUUCUUGGCACGGCCGAGCUCGUUCUCGGACCGCUCGAGGCUUUGCUUCAAAGUAUUGACCUCCGCAGUCAGGGCGGCAGAGGUCAGCAGCACAGGCUGCAAUCCCAUAUUGACAUACUUUUUUUAUGACUCCUACGUAUAUCUUUUUAGAUCCUCAGUCCGGCUUUUCUUUCUGAAUACCGAACCGAGCAUCAGGGGCUACUGUCUAUGCGGUACUAUUUUACAUAUAUCAAAAUUCUUACCUCAAAGCCUGUUAGAAGGCUGCUGCAGGCUUCGGUCAGCCCGCUCUUGGCGAGCUGAACCUUCUGAAUCACCGCACUCAUGACAGUGCGGUGUUCCUCUUCGAUGGAGGCGCCGUUGAGCGCCUCCAGCAAGCUGUCCGGCGCUUCCGGUUGGACGGAGGCCGCUGGUGUCACGGUCUUGCCCUUCUUACGCAGGGGCCGCCCGCCGGACUCCGGAGCCACUACAGGUUCCGGGGUGGAGUCUGGUGCAAAGUCCGAGAGGUUGCCCUGCGGCACCUCCAGGGCCUCCUCCUGGUGGGUCCCUUCUCGGGAUCCCACCUCGGCAUCGUCCGCAUCACGGGGGGUGGAGGUGGUCGGAAGAGAAUCCAUAUCCGACGCACCCAAGGACCCGCUCGAUGAAGCAGGAAGAUCAUCCUUGGACGGACUGCAGGGUAGUAUGCGGCAUUAGAAAGACACCAUGUGGCGAAAAGAAAAACCAUGAAGUUAUUCGGGAGUCCGGAUACUUACGAUCUCGCCAGAGGCUUGGCCCUUGGAGGCCAAUCCUCGUCGUCGUCGCACCGCGCUGGCGGAGCAGUCCGGGGGAAGAGUCCUUCCCUUCUUGGACCCUUCGGCCUCCCUCGUCGGGGAGGCCUUCCUUUUCUUCCCUCCCCCCGCUGGGGGAGAGGCCUCCUUCUUCUCCUCCUCGCCUUUGUGGGAGGAGUCUGCCUCAGAGUCAUCAUCCGAUGACACCUGAAAACGAGAACUCUUUCGAGUGCCCGUGGCCUUCUUCUUGGCCUUCUUCUCCGGCACCACGUGGGGUGCCGGAGCCAGCAGCCCCGUUAAGCGGGCGUCCGCUGGGUCUUCUGGCAAUGGGGCCGGACAGAUAGUCUGUUCGGCCUUCUUCAGCCAGUCCUGUCAAAGGAGGGGUUUAGAUCCCGCAUAGAGUCAAACUAUGGAAAACAAGUGUCCCGUAAAGGGCAAAAUCGCUUACCUCGUUAGCCGGACGCUGCGAGCUGAAUCCGCGAUCUUCGGUAGCGGAUGCGGGAGCCUCGACACCCUUAAACAGCACCCUCCAGGCCUCUUCGUACGUAGUGUCUAAGAGCCCGCUCAAAGUCUGGUGCUGCGCCGGAUCGAACUCCCACAUAUUGAAGUCCCGUUGUUGGCACGGGAGAAUCCGGCGGAUGAGCAUGACCUGGACUACGUUGACAAGCUUGAGCUUCUUGUUCACUAGCUUUUGGAUGCAGGCUUGAAGUCCGGUCAGCUCCUCCGAAUCACCCCAUGUCCGGCCACUCUCCUUCCAGGAGGUGAGCCGUAUGGGGAUGCCAGAUCUGAAUUCGGGGGCCGCUGCCCAUUCAGGGUCACGCGGUUCGGUGAUGUAGAACCACCCCGAUUGCCACCCCUUAAUGGUUUCCAUGAAGGUGCCCUCGAGCCAAGUAACGUUGGGCAUCUUGCCCACCAUGGCGCCUCCGCACUCCGCUUGGCUGCCCUUCACAACCUUCGGCUUGACACUGAAGGUCUUGAGCCACAAGCCGAAGUGGGGCUGGAUGCAGAGGAAGGCCUCACACACGACGAUAAACGCCAAGAUAUUGAGGAUGAAAUUCGGGGCCAGAUCAUGGAAAUCCAUGCCAUAGUAGAACAUGAGCCCCCGGACAAAGGGAUGGAGUGGGAAGCCCAGUCCGCGGAGGAAAUGGGAAAGAAAUACUACCCUCUCAUGGGGCCUGGGGGUGGGGAUGAGCUCCCCCUCGUCGGGGAGCCGGUGCGCGAUGUCGCUGGACAGAUAUCCGGCGCUGCACAGCUUCUGGAUGUGCCCCUCCGUAACAGAGGAGGCCAUCCACUUGCCUCCCGCUCCGGACAUAGUUGGAGAAGGUUGAGGUGAGAUGUGCGGACUUGGGCGCUGGACCUCGAGUUCACGGAGAUGGAUAAGCAAAGGAGGAAGAAGGGGUAGGUAAAAGGGUUGGAUCUUUAUCCCCUUAUAUGGGCAGACGAAAAUAUGCGUCCCCACCGGCCUGAUAAAACUCGCUUAUCUCCCAAGCGCCGCAAUCAAUGGUGCGGUUGGGUUACCCACGUCCGUAUUGAUGGGAAUUCCGGAAUAAGGGGAACACGAUCUCUGCUUCGACAAGACGUCCCAAGGAAACCGCUUCCCUAAACACGCUGAGGUGGUACAAUAAAAACAAUUCGAGUAAAGGCUUGGUAGUGGUGUGACGUCACGCCACAAAAUACGUCAGCAGAUUGAACUUGUGUAAAUAUUAUUCUCUCUACGGUGGUAUGUGGAAUUUAUUUUGCAGAGUCGGACACUAUCCUGGUGUUCACAAUCUUCUAUAAAUUAUUCGAAGAAGGAACCCGCCUUGCAACGCCGAAGACAAUAUGCGUGCCCGACUCAUCUUCAUUGAAGUCUGGUUCAGGGGCUACAGAUGGAGUCCUGAACUAGGGGGUGUCCGGAUAGCCGAACUAUCAUCAUCGGUCGGACUCCAAGACUAUGAAGAUACAAGAUUGAAGACUUCGUCCCGUGUCCGGAUGGGACUUUCCUUGGCGUGGAAGGCAAGCUUCGCAAUACGGAUAUGUAGAUCUCCUACCAUUGUAACCGACUCUGUGUAAUCCUAGCCCUCUCCGGUGUCUAUAUAAACCGGAUGGCUUUAGUCCAUAGGACGAACAACAAUCAUACCAUAGGCUAGCUUCUAGGGUUUAGCCUCCUUGAUCUCGUGGUAGAUCUACUCUUGUAAUACCCACAUCAUCAAUAUCAAUCAAGCAGGACGUAGGGUUUUACCUCCAUCAAGAGGGCCCGAACCUGGGUAAAACAUCGUGUCCCUUGUCUCCUGUUACCAUCCGCCUAGACGCACAGUUCGGGACCCCCUACCCGAGAUCCGCCGGUUUUGACACCGACACCAACCAAAUGAUCUUGAUGGCAAGGAUCGAUACCAAGCACGAGCACCAUCUCGGAGAGAGAAUGUGAACAUCAUGCACUUGAUAGCUUCUUGAGGAACUCCAUGGUACUUUACUGUAUCUGAAUACUCCAUGACUCGGAGCAAGUGCUCGUAAGGAUCCUCAUUAGGCAACCCUCCAAACUGAUGUUGUUGAACCAAAGCAAUAAGACCAGGCUUUAGCUCAAAAUUUUCCGCCUCAAAAGACGGCCAAAGUGGCCCUGUGAAAUAGCAUUGGCUGCUUGGCAUCCAAACAUCACGAAGCAUCGCCAUAUCACCACCAAGUGUAACUAUCAAUCAACCUGUAAAUAGUUCAGAUUUCCUACGCACACUCAUAAACAGUAAAUACUAGUGAGAAUGUUAGUAUCCUAAUAAGACGAAGCAGCAACAACGAAAAAAUAUAAAAGAAACGCAGAAAAUGAAAUACACGACGAAUUAAACACGGACUAAAAUAGACCUAGUCUAUAGCCUAACACGGUCACUCGACGCUAGUCCCCGGCAACGGCGCCAAAAUGAUCAAUUGAAAGUAUAGCGGGGUUUUUACGCUCCAAACUACGGAUGUUGUGUUCUCCACAGGGACUAGGCGACGACGACUAUGCUCAGCUAAAGCUAGGUAGCACAAUUUUAAGAGAUAAAUGCAGAAAAGAAGAAUCUAAACUAACAAUGAUUGUACCCGAAGAUAAUCCACCAAGAAAAUGCAAAAUAGCAAAGGAGGUUAAGAUAUUACUCACUAUCUUUUUGGUAUUUUGUUUUAUUUGAGGAAUUAAAAUACUAACACAAACAGGAGUCAAUAUCAAGUAAAGCUACAAGACGAGGACACAUUAGUAUCAAACAUAUAACAGUAGGAAGAAGCGACAAUAUAUGACAGAAUAUAAUUGUUUCAAAUCAAACACACACACGCACAUUCAUAUAUCACAGGUACAUAGCUGAUACGGGGACUACAGAACACACAAAACCACACAUAUGCGAAUAGGAUACUACACCACGGUUCAGGUUACACAAGUGACAACAGAAAUGAAAUCUUAUAAGCCACAAGAUUAGUACCCACAGAUCAACACAACAGUAUUUAACAACUAAAAAAUACUGAUAGAAUUUAACUAGUACAGCGAGAAGAAAUACACAGGGUGAACACACAUAUAUGCUGACAGAACACUAAUUACCAAAGCAAUUUCUAAUAGAUCAAUAAUCUCCCAAAUUAACAAUAUAUUUUACCAGUACCAAACUGAACAAAUAACAAGUUGCUUGCACUAGUCAAAUCUGAAUAUUACACAACCCGAAACAUUACACAGUUCUGAACAUUACACUUCUAAAGUUUGCAAUAAGUUGAGAGAGAGAGAGAGAGAGCAACAAGAUUCAGAUUCAGAGAAGUGCAGCAACAAGGUUCAUGGGUUCAGAGAAGGGGGAAGCAACGAGCAGCAGAGGGAGAUAGGCAAGGGAGCAGCGGCAGGAAUAUUAGAGAAGAGCAGCAGCAAAAGGGACGAGGGGAGGAGCAGCAGCAGUUGGGAAGAGGCAAGGGAAGGAGGAGGAGCAGCUGGUUCGAGUUGAGAAGUGGAGGAGCAGCAGCAAGGCGAGGGAAGAAGGAGCAGCAGCAAGGCGUAGGAGAAGAAGAGCAGCAGGGGCGCGAGGUGCGGGGAAGCGCUGUGGUGCUGGUAGCAGCGGUUUGGAUGGAUGAUGGUGGAUUCGGGGAAGGAGAAGAAGAUGGUGGCACUGGUGGAUGGCGCAAGGUGGUGAUGUGGUGGGAGGUGCUGGUGGCACGCCGCCACGCCGGCCUGGCCGAGGCGGCGGCCGGAGGUGGAGAAGGGGGUGUGAGGGAGAGAGUUGAGUAGCCAGGCCCAAUUGCAAUGGAGAUGUGGCUACGGAUUUUGAUCCCCUCCCGAUCAGAUCUGAAUGUUUUCACUUUGGCCCUCCUUCUUCCUUCUUUCUUCCCAAGUUGUCCUCCCAUCUUUAGUUUGGCCCCUCAGUUACUUCUUUCCUUCACGCUCAGCUCCUUGACUCCAUCAUUUGAUCAUUUGUAGUAGAAGAGUUUUGUGCCUUGUCGCACUUUUUUGCAAAAUAAACAAGUGACUAGUCAACAAUCCUUUUAUAUGAUUUUCAUGCAAUAUUCGAUAAUUCUUAGCAAGGAUAGAUGGACACAUCUCAAGAAAUGGUGAAUUUGUGUGUCAAAAUUAUAUAUAUGAAAUGUGCUUAUCACUUAGUUUGUGUGUGUGUGAGAGAGAGAGANNNNNNNNNNNNNNNNNNNNNNNNNNNNNNNNNNNNNNNNNNNNNNNNNNNNNNNNNNNNNNNNNNNNNNNNNNNNNNNNNNNNNNNNNNNNNNNNNNNNNNNNNNNNNNNNNNNNNNNNNNNNNNNNNNNNNNNNNNNNNNNNNNNNNNNNNNNNNNNNNNNNNNNNNNNNNNNNNNNNNNNNNNNNNNNNNNNNNNNNNNNNNNNNNNNNNNNNNNNNNNNNNNNNNNNNNNNNNNNNNNNNNNNNNNNNNNNNNNNNNNNNNNNNNNNNNNNNNNNNNNNNNNNNNNNNNNNNNNNNNNNNNNNNNNNNNNNNNNNNNNNNNNNNNNNNNNNNNNNNNNNNNNNNNNNNNNNNNNNNNNNNNNNNNNNNNNNNUGUUAAGUGUGAGUGUGUGUUUUGCCCAUCCAGGCGGAAGUUAUGUGCACAAAAGAGGAGAACGAUUCGAUGUGGCGUUAGGAUUGAGGGUAAUUAACUACGUAUGGAGACAUAGAGACCUUGAACAUGCAUGUGUGAGAGGUAUACAUGUAUACGUGGGAUGUGUGUGUGCGCGCGCGCGCAUGAUCGAGAUAAAAGAAAGAAGACAUAAGUCCUAAGAUCAACGACAUGGGAGAGACAGAUCGGUAUGACAAUAUGCAUGCAUGUGAGAAUGCAGGGAAGAAGGCCCGACAAUUGAGCAUGUGUUUUUGUCUUUAAGAGAUAGUGGCAUGGGCUGGAGGAUGCAUCUAUGGCGAGCAGAGGGGAUGAGGCGCAACGAUUGUGCAGAAGAGAUUAACCUAUAAAUGCAUAUGUAUGGAUAGACAUAUAUAGUGUGGGUGACAGGAAGCAAGACUCCGUGCGAGAAAGAAAUGUUGACGGAGAAACUACAGAUAGAUACAGAGAUGGAGAUGCUAGCUAGAGAGACAUUCGUUAGUUUGGGUGUCGGAGAUGACCGUCGGGUGGUUCAAAGGGUGAAGUUAUAUAUAUGUGUGAGAGGGCACUUGACUACAUGCAUGUAGAGAGAAACAUAUGUAGUGUGUGUGAUAGGAAUCAAGAGUGAGGGCGAGAAAGAAGGUUGAUGGAGAAACAGAUAAAUAGAAAGAUAAAGAUGCUAGCUAGUGUGCACUAUAGAUAGGAGUCGAGUGGAUCAGAAGACUGGGUUAUGUGUGUGGGUGUGAGAGAGAUAUAGAGAGGGUGCAUGUGAGUCACAUACAAACAAAUAUCAGAGAGAAAUGAGAUCCAGAGAGAUGGAGUUUUGUGUCUGCGAGAGAAAGAUAUUUCACAACGAGAGUGAUAGCUAGAGAGACAUAUGAGGGAACGCAAGAUAUCUCUAGGGAGAGAGGGUGUGUUUGAGCGACAUACAAGAGAACAAUGGAGAAAUAUGAGACCCUGGGAGACAGAAUUUGUGUUUGUGUGUGAGAAAGAGAUAUUGAAGAGGAAGAGUCGUAGGUUCUCAUAUGUAAGGAGCGAAAUACAUCUCUGUAUGAGGGGUGUGCGAGUGGCACACAUGGGAAUAGUUGAGAGAAAUGAGACCCCGGGAAACAAAGCUUUGUGUUUGUGUGAGAGAAAGAGAUUCCACAUGGAGAAUCAUAGCUAGAGACACAUAGCAGGGAGCGAGAUAUACUUAGAGAGAGAGAUAGAGUGAUGAAGGUCGAUGGAGAGAGUACCAUCAGUGUGUUACGAAGAUAAAAGAUCAUUGUCGACAUGCAGGUAGCACGAGAGAUGCCUGAGAGACGAUGAACGCGUAUAGGUCUAGAGAGAUAGUCCUAUAUAAGCAUGAGUGAUAGCUAUAUGAGACGAAUAUCUGGAUUAAAGGGGAUUCAAAUAUUUAAACUGGAGAUCACGACAUUGAUAAUAUCAUAAUGCAAAUUGGUGUAUCAAACAUGCAUAUUCAUUUGAGUUUGGGCACACAUGUAAUGUUAUAUAGUUUAUCAAUAUUGGUGAUCCAUAGAUUCUUCAAUUACAAACAAUGCAUGGUUUAUAUGCAAUUAGUGUCUAAACGGGAUUACACUAUAUGUUGCGUGUGUGAAACACAUUAUACAUGUUUGAGAAGUUAAAAAAAAACCCGCAUGAAACACACAUUAAUUCGAGACAGUUAGCAAGAAAUGCAUACAUUCGAUUUCAACAUAAAGUGGUUUCAAAUAUUUGAAAAUCCAAAUUGAUGGAUACAACCUUAUGAAUCUGAGAUCAUGCCAUUUGUAAACCAUAUUUAUGUAUAAAUGGUGUUGUGCUUUUGAAAGUAUAUAUGUAAAAAAAUGAUGUAUAUAGAAUGUAAUUCCAAUUGAAAAUGGAUCCCGCCCAAAAAAAAUAGUAGAAUACAAACGGGAUUCGAAUUGAGUUGGCACGGUAAACUUGCACUGUGCAAAAUUUGAACGAAGCGGGGAAAGUUGCAGUAACCACCCGAAACUAAAAUCUGCGAGAUGGAAAUCACUACUGCCUAUCUCUACCGCGCAAAGCCUAUCUGCUGGAUUUCUAUAGGUUUCGAUAGGGGUAGGUUUGUAAUUUCACCCAAACGUCUCACCCGGAUUCAUACACAGUGGGCGCCAAAACACAGUGUGCCCUCGGCCAAAAUCGACUCCUUCCCCAAUUCAUAUUCAUACACGGUGGGCACCAAAAACAAACUCUCGUCGGCAAAUAUUCGGUGUAUGCGAGAUUACCGUCCUAUCCCCAACCGACUAAUGUUGUUGUGAUGUAGUAGAAAUUUGAAACGGGGGCUAAGUUUGUAAAUUUCCUCGCAUUUGAGACAAGCGCGUCCUGACUACAUGGUUCCCCCUUUCCUCUCUACCUCCCUUUUCCCCAUUCGUACUUCGUGGGCGCUAAAACACCCUCUCCACCCCACCCUCCUCUGUCCGCCACCCCAUCCACCGCCGUCCUCCUCCAGCAUGCCGGAGCUGAUACCCCGACGCCGCCAUCCAUUACAAGAGAUCGACCUCUCUCAUCCACGCCUUCGGACCGGGAUCCUUGCAUCCUGUCCUCUCACUUCAUCCCCGCCGUCGUCCACCUUGCCGGUGCCGCUCCUACGACCGUCUCGUCCACCGCGCCCCACCGCCACCGUCUAUCCUCCUAGAUCUGCUUCCACGCCGCCGACAGCCAUCGCUACCGCAGCACCGUCAAAUUCUUACCAGAUGCGUACAUGGCGCCGCACCACAGACGAUACUCUUUCGUAUCUGCUCAACUUAUUUAUCACAGCAAGAAAAUAGAUCGCCACUGCUUUAUUCUGAUUUCUUGUCUUGGUUGCGAAGUUGCCUUUGUUCGGUUUGCACCUUUAGAUCCGCCAUGGCACGCUCAACACUAUACUUCCAAUGCUUAUGGUUUUCCCCUUUUAUAUUCCACACUAGUUAAAUCAUAGUAGACUAAAUUUCAAAAUUGGGUCAGUCGAUUUUUCAGAGCUCGCCGGAGUUCGCCGGUGCAAUCCAAGGGGCUCGGGUGGUUGUGGAGCCUAGCCAAAUGAAGAAAACUCGAUGCGGGUGGGGGGUGGGGGUGGCGGAGGAACACAGGCGGUGGGGGCCGGUGGUCCGGCCGGCAGCCCGUGUGGUGUUCUGUAUGGGAAGAAUCACAGACGAGGAAGAAGAAGGGUUAGGAGACGUAGGAUCUUCAUCCAACCGCCUAAAAUGGUCGAUAGACAGCUGGGAGUUGCAUUCUUAAUGCCCUCUGGUUCAUCAUGUGUGGGCACUGCGCAACCAACAUUUUAUUAUCCAAAAUCUGCUUGCUCUUCUUUACCAUGUUCGAUAGUGCUAGCCUGUACGUGAUCGAUAGGCUUUCAAUUACUAGCGGCUAUACAACACCGUAUUUUCAAGCCAGUUCCACUUUCCCGAUUUAUAUAUCGUCGUUAUGGUGUACCCCUGUUAUGUACACUAUGAUCUGCCUAGUUGUUGUGUGCUCUUGUUAUCAUGGUUUGGCAAUAAACUAUCUAUACAGUAUAUUAUGAACCUAUCAUCUGCCAACUAUCCUUACUUCUGGAGCCUAUUUUUUGUGUACUUGUGCCAGAUUAUAUAAAUGCACGCAUGAUAUUACAGCACACAUGAGCUCUCUCAUCAGAAUCCAGUGAUAGCACAUAAGUGUUUACAGGGGCGCCCCUAUAUUAGAAUAUCAUCUGCAUUACAAAGAUAAUCUCACAACUAUUUAUGUUUUCAUGGUUCUCAGAUAUUAUACGCAAUUACAGUGAAUAUCAGAAUCCGCGCAUCAGAAGAAUAUUGUGGAACACUGCAAUGACUUACAAAAUUGGCACCAAGGCAUUGAGUGCCAUUUUGGAAGCAAUGAAACUCGUACGCUCCCCACCUGUUGAUUCUUGUUCAGAAUAUCAUUCUAAUGACUAUUCUAACCUCGAGGAGUCAAAGGCAGAUGGCCUAUCCUGUUCACCCAUCAAGGUGCUUGUUCUAAUUUGGCAAUGUUUUAUUGAUUGCACAUAUCUUGCAUAUGUUGUCUUGCAUUUCUUCUACUUUGUUGCACCACCAUCUGCUUAGUUUACUCAUCAUAUAACUCGAGAUGCUAUGCCCAUCCAUUAUCAAUACAUAUUCCAUCUGUCGUCAUACCAUGUUUUUCCACUCAAAUGUUGUUCUUGUGCAUCAUACAUCAAAAAGGAAGAGGGUGAUUGCCGAACCUGAAGGAGCACCAGCAAAGUCCUUGAAAAACGUGGUGGUGCCGGAGAAACCAGACAGCACCCCACUUAUAUUGGCUAUACAACCAGUGACACAAAACAUAGGACCGACUCCAGCAGACUGUACCCAUACUUCACUGGCCACACCACUAGCCCCACCACACAGGACCUGCACUCCAGCAAAAGGUAUACCGAUUUCAUUUGCCAUAGCACCAGCCGUACCACAAAAAAAUCCCACUCCAGCAAAAAGUACAGCAAGUCCACCGGCUGAAGACCUAUCCCAACUGCAGAGACGGCCAAUUCCUGCAGAUUGGAACCUGUCGGUGUCAAAACCGGCGGAUCUCGGGUAGGGGGUCCCGAACUGUGCGUCUAGGCGGAUGGUAACAGGAGACAAGGGACACGAUGUUUUACCCAGGUUCGGGCCCUCUUGAUGGAGGUUAAACCCUACGUCCUGCUUGAUUAAUAUUGAUGAUGUGUGUUACAAGAGUGGAUCUACCACGAGAUCAAGGAGGCUAAACCAUAGAAGCUAGCCUAUGGUAUGAUUGUUGUUCGUCCUAUGGACUAAAGCCAUCCGGUUUAUAUAGACACCGGAGAGGGCUAGGGUUACACAGAGUCGGUUACAAUGGUAGGAGAUCUACAUAUCCGUAUCGCCAAGCUUGCCUUCCACGCCAAGGAAAGUCCCAUCCGGACAUGAGACGAAGUCUUCAAUCUUGUAUCUUCAUAGUCUUGGAGUCCGGCCGACGAUGAUAGUUCGGCUAGCCGGACACCCCCUAGUCCGGAACUCCCUCAGUAGCCCCUGAACCAGGCUUCAAUGAUGACGAGUCCGGCGCGCAUGUUGUCUUCGGCAUUGCAAGGCGGGUUCUCCCUCCAAAUAAUUUAUAGAAGAUUGUGAACAGCAGGAUAGUGUCCGGCUCUGCAAAAAUAAAUUCCACGCAUCACUGUAGAGAGAAUAAUAUUACACAAGUUCAAUCUGCUGACGUAUUUUGCAGCGUGACGUCACACCACUACCAAGCCUUUACUAGAAUCGUUUUUAUUGUACCACCUCAGCGCGUUUAGCGAAGCGGUUUCCUUGGCACGUCUUGUCAAAGCAGAGAUCGUGUUCCCCUUAUUCCGGGAUUCCCAUCAAUACGGACGUGGGUAACCCAACCGCACCAUUGACUGCGGCGCUUGGGGGAUAAGCGAGUUUUAUCAGGCUGGUGGGGAUGCAUGUUUGCGUCCACCCAUAUAAGGGGAUAAAGAUCCAACCCUUUUACAUGCGCCUUCUUCCUCCUUGGCUUAUCCCACUCCACGAACUUGAGCUCCAGCGCCCAAGUCCGCACUCCUCACCUCAACCUUCUCUAACUAUGUCUGGAGCGGGAGGCAAGUGGAUGGCCUCCUCCGUCACUGAGGGGCAGAUCCAGAAGCUGCGCACCGCCGGAUAUUUGUCUAGCAACAUCGCGCACCGGCUCCCCGACGAGGGAGAGCUCAUCCCCACCCCCAUGCCCCAUGAGAGGGUAGUAUUUCUUCCCCAUUUCCUCCGCGGACUGGGCUUCCUGCUUCAUCCCUUUGUUCGGGGGCUUAUGUUCUACUACGGCCUGGAUUUCCAUGAUCUGGCCCCGAAUUUCACCCUCAACAUCUCGAUGUUUAUCGUCGUGUGCGAGGCCUUCCUCUGCAUCCAGCCCCACUUCGGUUUGUGGCUCAAGACCUUCAGCGUCAAGCCGAAGGUUGUGAAGGGCAGCCAAGCGGAGUGCGGAGGCGCCAUGGUGGGCAGGAUGUCCCACGUUACUUGGUUGGAGGGCACUUUCGUGGAAACCAUUAAGGGGUGGCAAUCGGGGUGGUUCUACAUCACCGAGCCGCGUGACCCUGAAUGGGCAGCGGCCCUCGAAUUCAGAUCUGGCAUCCCUACACGGCUCACCUCUUGGAAAGAGAGUGGCCGGAUCUGGGGUGAUUCGGAGGAGCUGACCGGACUCCAAGCCUGUAUCCAAAAGCUGGUGGACAAGAAGCUCAAGCUUGUCAACAUAGUCCAGGUCAUGCUCAUUCGCCGGAUUCUCCCGUGCCAACGACGGGGUUUCAACAUGUGGGAGUUCAAUCCGGCGCAACACCAGACUCUGAGCGGGCUCUUCGACACUACGUAUGAAGAUGUCUGGAAGGUGCUGUUCAAGGGCGCCGAGGCUCCCGUAUCCGCUACCAAAGAUCGCAGAUUCAGCUUGCAGUGUCCGGCUGACGAGGUAAGUGAUUUUGUCCUUUACGGAAUGCUCGUUUUCCAUAGUUUGACUCUAUGCGGGAUCUAACUCCCUUUACCUUUGACAGGACUGGCUGGCGAAGGCCGAACAGACUAUCUAUCCGGCCCCAUUGCCAGAAGACCCAGCGGACGCCCACCUAACGGGGCUGCUGGCUCCGGCACCCCACGUGGUGCCGAAGAAGAAGGCCAAGAAGAAGGCCACGGGGACUCGGAAGAGUUCCCGUUUUUAGGUGCUAUCGGAUGACGACUCCGAGGCCGACUCCUCUGACCAAGGUGAGGAGGAGAAGAGAAAGGCCUCUCCCCCAGUGGGGGAGAGAAGAAAAGGAAGGCCUCCCCAACGAGGGAGGCCGAAGGGUCCAAGAAGGGAAAAAAUCUUCCCUCGGACUGCUCUGCCAACGCCAGUGACGACGACGAGGACUGGCCUCCAAGGGCCAAGCCCCUGGCGAGAUCAUGAGUAUCCGGACUCCCGAAUAACUUCAUGGUCUUUAUUUUUUGCCACACAAUGUCUUUCUAAUGCCGCAUACAACCCUGCAGUCCGCCCAAGGACGAUCUUCCCGCUUCGUCGAGCGGGUCUUUAGGUGCGUUGGAUAUGGAUUCUCUUCCGACUGCCUCCACCCCCCGUGACACGGACGAUGCCAAGGUGGGAUCCCGGGAAGGGACCCGCCAGGAGGAGGAGGCCCCGGAGGUGUCGCAGGACAACCUCCUGGACUUUGCACCGGACUGGGCUCCAGAUCCCAUAGUGGAUCCGGAGUCCGGCGGGCGGCCCCUUCGUAAGAAGGGCAAGACCGUGACGCCGACAGCCUCCGUCCAUCAAAGAGGAACACCGCACUGUUAUGAGUGCGGUGAUUCAGAAGGUGCAGCUCGCCAAGAGCGGGCUCACCGAAGCCUGCAGCAGCCUUCUAACAGGCUUUGAGGUAAGAAUUUUGAUAUAUGUAAAAUAGUACCACAUAGACAGUAGCCCCUGAUGCUCGGUUCGGUGUUCGGAAAGAAAAGUUGGACUGAGGAUCUUAAGAACAUAUACGCAGGAGUCAUAAUAAAUAUGUCAAUAUGGGAUUGCAGGCUGCGCUGCUGACCUCUGCCGCACUGACUGCGGAGGUCAAUACUUUGAAGGAAAGCCUCGAGCGGUCCAAGAACGAGCUCGGCCGUGCCAAGAAGCAGCUCGAGGACAAGGAAGGUGAGUAACACCUUAUUAAAAUUGUACCUUACAGAAAAGGAUUUUGGUUGCAAAAAGAAUGACAACGAUAACGUGGGUAUUGCAGGGGCCACUAACGAGGUGGCGACCCUGAAAGAGGCGGUGGCCGUGGCCGAACGCAAUGCGGCCGCGGAGUGCACCGAGCGAGAGAAGCAGGAGGCGCGGGUGGCGGAGGUUCAGCAAGAGCUCCAGGAUCUCAUGAAAAAACAUGAGAGCCUGGAGCGUGACUCGAAGACUCGAGAGUCUGAGCUUGCAACGGCUCUUGAGAGUGCCAAAGCCGCUAAGGCCGAAGCCUACAAGGCCCUCCAAGAAAUUGAGGAAUUGAAGAAAAUAGCGGCGGGUAAGGCAUUUUUCAUGCAAAGUAAGCAUGUGAGUGUUAAUUAC